GACGAUCCCUAGCUGGUCUGAGAGGAUGAUCAGCCACACUGGAAUUGAGACACGGUCCAGACUCUCACGGGAGGCAGCAGUGGGGAAUAUUGCACAAUGGGCGAAAGCCUGAUGCAGCCAUGCCGCGUGUAUGAAGAAGGCCUUCGGGUUGUAAAGUACUUUCAGUUGUGAGGAAGGGGGUGUCGUUAAUAGCGGCAUCUCUUGACGUUAGCAACAGAAGAAGCACCGGCUAACUCCGUGCCAGCAGCCGCGGUAAUACGGAGGGUGCGAGCGUUAAUCGGAAUUACUGGGCGUAAAGCGCAUGCAGGUGGUUCAUUAAGUCAGAUGUGAAAGCCCGGGGCUCAACCUCGGAACUGCAUUUGAAACUGGUGAACUAGAGUACUGUAGAGGGGGGUAGAAUUUCAGGUGUAGCGGUGAAAUGCGUAGAGAUCUGAAGGAAUACCAGUGGCGAAGGCGGCCCCCUGGACAGAUACUGACACUCAGAUGCGAAAGCGUGGGGAGCAAACAGGAUUAGAUACCCUGGUAGUCCACGCCGUAAACGAUGUCUACUUGGAGGUUGUGGCCUUGAGCCGUGGCUUUCGGAGCUAACGCGUUAAGUAGACCGCCUGGGGAGUACGGUC
Molecule: ribosomal RNA, 620 nt
Filed under: Vibrio sp. 35A2
Lineage: Bacteria; Pseudomonadati; Pseudomonadota; Gammaproteobacteria; Vibrionales; Vibrionaceae
Description: bacterial SSU rRNA
Rfam family: Bacterial small subunit ribosomal RNA
Source: RNAcentral